Pieris napi is the source of this 1371-nucleotide RNA transcript. It is a transcript of the gene named CCR4-NOT transcription complex subunit 9, with no coding region annotated. The record is from RefSeq and is a predicted model, not a curated record. NCBI's taxonomy places the organism in Eukaryota, Metazoa, Arthropoda, Insecta, Lepidoptera, Pieridae. The transcript has 2 exons.
AAUGCCAAAUCGUAUUUAGUAAAUGGCAUUCUGUAAUCUGUUUUAAAUUCUAACUUUUAGUGUGUGGACUGUGUGGUUACUAAUCGAAGAAUUGUUUAAGAGAAAAAUUGUUCAUUUGUGUACUUUUAUCUUAAAUCUGAAUAUAACCUUUACUACUACAUUCUAUAAUAGACGAAUAUUAAUUUUCUAUAGUGAUAGUCGUAAGUAAUUCAUAGUAGUCGUUACUUGAAGCUAACGUUAUAUUAUUCUCUAUAUUACCAAUUAACCGCAAACACACAAAGCAGUAAUUGUUAUAUUACAAGCUUUAUGUCAGCGAAGUUAAAAUUAAUUUUAUUGUGAUGCAUACUACUAUGAGCUCGCAGCAAAGUCCAGCCAACAUGCAAACUGUUGUGGACAGAGAAAAGAUUUAUUCCUGGAUAUUAGAACUUUGCAAUCCCGAAACUCGGGAAAAUGCACUCUUGGAACUUAGUAAAAAGAGGGAAGUUGUACCAGAUUUGGCACCUAUGCUAUGGCAUAGUUUUGGCACCAUAGCAGCACUGUUACAAGAAAUAACGAACAUUUAUGUGGCCAUGAUUCCUGCAACUCUGACAGCACAUCAAAGCAAUCGAGUUUGUAAUGCAUUAGCUUUAAUGCAGUGUGUUGCAUCUCAUCCAGAGACAAGGUCAGCUUUUUUACAAGCUCAUGUUCCUCUCUUUCUCUAUCCUUUUCUGCAUACAGUUUCCAAAACUCGCCCUUUUGAAUAUCUCCGCCUUACCAGUCUUGGAGUAAUAGGAGCAUUAGUCAAAACAGAUGAACAAGAAGUUAUAACAUUCCUAUUAACAACUGAAAUUAUUCCUUUGUGCUUACGUAUUAUGGAAAAUGGAUCAGAAUUAUCAAAGACAGUAGCUACAUUCAUCCUACAAAAGAUCCUAUUAGAUGAUAGUGGCCUGUGUUACAUAUGCCAAACAUAUGAUAGAUUUUCCCAUGUAGCUAUGAUAUUAGGAAAAAUGGUAUUAUCUCUAGCUAAAGAUCCAUCUGCAAGGCUUCUAAAACAUGUUGUCCGAUGUUACUUACGCUUGUCAGAUAAUCCUAGAGCUAGGGAAGCUUUAAGACAAUGUCUCCCAGAUCAAUUGCGUGAUGCAACAUUUACCGCUUGUUUACAAGAAGAUAAUUCUACUAAGCAUUGGCUUGCACAAUUAAUCAAGAAUUUAGAAGCUCAACCAGCACCGGCAAGUCCUGCUCAAGCAAACAUGUGAGAAUUAUCUUUAUUCAAUUACAUCCUCUACAAAACAUUUCAAAUAUAGUGGUACAGACCAACAUGAAAACAGUAGCAUAAUACGCAGUUGUAAAAUGGACCGUAAAUUUUACAAAAAUAAAUUUUAUAGUUUUGUA